UUCUCAAUAACUGCUAUGCGCUUUCCAUGGUCGGACGUCAAGAUAUGGUUUAAUAGAGUUGUCUUGCCGGAGCCGAGGAAACCGGUGAUGAUUGUGGCCGGAAUGCGAUCGUCCGGCGGGAUCUUGGUCAGGACGUCGUCCUCCGCCGUGGCCGAUGCUGAAGUCGCUGAAGUGGUGAAGCGACGCGCAGCUGCGUCCCAGCGCCGAGGGCGGGCCAGUCGUGCGACGAGCGCAAAAGGCGAUUGCAUCCUGUACGAGCGGACGGCGGCGGAGGUGGGAGUUCGCCGGCAGGGGAGGAGCGGGGAUGGGAGGCGAAGAGCGGCGGCGGUGGCCUGACGCCGAGCAAGGGAGGAGAAGACGGUCACGAAAUCCGUCGACAUCGCCGCCAUGUGAGAGAGAGAGAGAGAGG
RNAcentral lists this unclassified non-coding RNA (409 nucleotides) under Hevea brasiliensis (rubber tree). The record is from RNAcentral. Lineage: Eukaryota; Viridiplantae; Streptophyta; Magnoliopsida; Malpighiales; Euphorbiaceae.